This 542-nucleotide ribosomal RNA is filed under the name Fusarium sp. BAB-5082. RNAcentral's name for it is "eukaryotic LSU rRNA". The stretch from base 176 to 329 matches the Rfam family "5.8S ribosomal RNA". Lineage: Eukaryota; Fungi; Ascomycota; Sordariomycetes; Hypocreales; Nectriaceae. The record is from RNAcentral.
GUAGGUGAACCUGCGGAGGGAUCAUUACCGAGUUUACAACUCCCAAACCCCUGUGAACAUACCUAUACGUUGCCUCGGCGGAUCAGCCCGCGCCCUGUAAAACGGGACGGCCCGCCCGAGGACCCUAAACUCUGUUUUUAGUGGAACUUCUGAGUAAAACAAACAAAUAAAUCAAAACUUUCAACAACGGAUCUCUUGGUUCUGGCAUCGAUGAAGAACGCAGCAAAAUGCGAUAAGUAAUGUGAAUUGCAGAAUUCAGUGAAUCAUCGAAUCUUUGAACGCACAUUGCGCCCGCCAGUAUUCUGGCGGGCAUGCCUGUUCGAGCGUCAUUUCAACCCUCAAGCUCAGCUUGGUGUUGGGACUCGCGGUAACCCGCGUUCCCCAAAUCGAUUGGCGGUCACGUCGAGCUUCCAUAGCGUAGUAAUCAUACACCUCGUUACUGGUAAUCGUCGCGGCCACGCCGUAAAACCCCAACUUCUGAAUGUUGACCUCGGAUCAGGUAGGAAUACCCGCUGAACUUAAGCAUAUCAAUAAGCGGAGGA